Molecule: small nucleolar RNA, 107 nt
Filed under: Olea europaea subsp. europaea
Lineage: Eukaryota; Viridiplantae; Streptophyta; Magnoliopsida; Lamiales; Oleaceae
Description: Plant small nucleolar RNA R71
Rfam family: Plant small nucleolar RNA R71
About the family: R71 is a member of the C/D box family of snoRNAs containing the C (UGAUGA) and D (CUGA) box motifs. Multiple nearly identical copies of this snoRNA have been identified in Arabidopsis, and it is thought to function as a 2'-O-ribose methylation guide for 18S ribosomal RNA.
Source: Rfam by way of RNAcentral
AUGCCAUGAUGUGGACACUUUCGAAGCAUAUUCUUGAACCUACUCUAUGCUUCAUCAAAGUUCUCUGAGUCACCUUGAUGAAAGACAGAUAUAUCAUGCUUGAGCUU